This 1367-nucleotide ribosomal RNA is filed under the name metagenome. Its description in RNAcentral is "bacterial SSU rRNA". It matches the Rfam family "Bacterial small subunit ribosomal RNA". The record is from RNAcentral.
UGUGAGUUGCGCGAGCCGCGAACGGCUGAGUAAUGGAUAGGAAUCUCCCCAAUGGCGUGGAAUACCUCAUCGAAAGAUGAGCUAAUACCACAUAACCCCGCAAGGGAAAAGCGCUUAACUGCGCGCCGAUGGAUGAGCCUACCUCCCAUCAGGCUGUUGGUAGGGUAAUGGCCUACCAAACCUAUGACGGGUACCCGCCCUGAGAGGGGAAACGGGCAGAAUGGGACUGAGACACGGCCCAUACACCUACGGGUGGCAGCAACAGGGAAUCGUACGCAAUGGACGAAAGUCUGACGUCGCAAUUCCGCGUGGAGGAUGAAGGCCUUCGGGUCGUAAACUCCUUUUAUAGUAAUAGAGAUGUUAUUAAGAAUAAGCACCUGCUAACUCUGUGCCAGCAGCCGCGGUAAUACAGAGGGUGCAAGCGUUAUCCGGAUUUAUUGGGCGUAAAGCGUUUCGUAGGCGGUCAGAUAAGUUAUCUUUUAAAGACCACGGCUCAACCGGGGGAAGGGAGAUAAUACUAUUUGACUUUGGUUGCCGGUGGGGCAUCUGGAACUGAUGGUGUAGUAGUGAAAUACGUUGAUAUCAUCAGGAACUCCAAGGGCGAAGGCAGGACGCUAAUCGGUUAACAACGCUGAGGAACGACAGCUAGGGGAGCGAAAGGGAUUAGAGACCCCUGUAGUCCUAGCCGUAAACUUUGCUCGCUAGAGAUCUUCGGUUUAUACCUGAGGUCCCGCAAGCUAACGCGUUAAGCGAGCCGCCUGGGGAGUACGGUCGCAAGACUAAAACUCAAAGGAAUUGACGGGGACCCGCACGACCAGUGGAGCAUGUGGUUUAAUUCGAGACGAAACGAAGGACCUCACCAAGCUUUGACAUAAUACCGUUUUAAGCACUCAGAAAUGAGAGCCUAUCUUUAGAAAUAUUGAUGGUACUACAGGUGUUGCAUGGCCGUCAUAAGUUCGUGCCGUAGGGUGUUCCCUUCAGUGGGGUAACGAACGAAACCCUUAUCCUAAGUUGAAUAUUCUUAGGAGACUUCCUAAAUUUAUUUUAGGAGGAAGCAGAGGAUGACGUCAGGUCAGCAUGGCCCUUAUAGCUCGGGCCACACACAUGCUACAAUGAAGCCGACAGAGGGUUGCCAAGCCGCAAGGCGGAGCUAAUCCCAUCAAACAGCUUCUCAGUGGGGAUUGGGGGCUGCAACUCGCCCCCAUGAACUCGGAAUUGGUAGUAAUCGCAGAUCAGCUACGCUGCGGUGAAUACGUUCUCGGGUCUUGUACACACCGCCCGUCAAGUGAGUAAAGUUAGAUAUACCUUAAGGACCAUUGUUUGGUUCCAAGGUAGAGCUAGCGACAAGCACUAAGUCGUAACAAGGU